Molecule: transfer RNA, 84 nt
Rfam family: tRNA
About the family: Transfer RNA (tRNA) molecules are approximately 80 nucleotides in length. Their secondary structure includes four short double-helical elements and three loops (D, anti-codon, and T loops).
GCAGGGAUUCCCGAGCGGUCAAAGGGGCAGGACUUAAGAUCCUGUGGUUUAGUACCUUCGAGGGUUCGAAUCCCUCUCCCUGCA